This 495-nucleotide ribosomal RNA is filed under the name uncultured bacterium. Its description in RNAcentral is "partial 16S ribosomal RNA". It matches the Rfam family "Bacterial small subunit ribosomal RNA", at positions 28 to 507 of the family's 1533-position model. The record is from RNAcentral.
GACGAACGCUGGCGGCGUGCCUAAUACAUGCAAGUAGAACGCUGAAGGAGGAGCUUGCUUCUCUGGAUGAGUUGCGAACGGGUGAGUAACGCGUAGGUAACCUGCCUGGUAGCGGGGGAUAACUAUUGGAAACGAUAGCUAAUACCGCAUAAGAGUAGAUGUCGCAUGACAUUUGCUUAAAAGGUGCAAUUGCAUCACUACCAGAUGGACCUGCGUUGUAUUGGCUAGUUGGUGAGGUAACGGCUCACCAAGGCAACGAUACAUAGCCGACCUGAGAGGGUGAUCGGCCACACUGGGACUGAGACACGGCCCAGACUCCUACGGGAGGCAGCAGUAGGGAAUCUUCGGCAAUGGACGGAAGUCUGACCGAGCAACGCCGCGUGAGUGAAGAAGGUUUUCGGAUCGUAAAGCUCUGUUGUAAGAGAAGAACGAGUGUGAGAGUGGAAAGUUCACACUGUGACGGUAUCUGAACAGAAAGGGACGGCUAACUACGUG